This is a long non-coding RNA of Camelina sativa (false flax), 784 nucleotides long. RefSeq lists it as uncharacterized. The record is from RefSeq and is a predicted model, not a curated record. Lineage: Eukaryota; Viridiplantae; Streptophyta; Magnoliopsida; Brassicales; Brassicaceae.
UCUUACACGCUCUUCCAACUUUUCCCAAUAAAACAAAGCCCGACGAAGCGGUAACGCCGUACGCCCUGAAUCAAGCUGUUGUUGGAAGGUAACCCCCAUGUACCAUAAUACGGAUCAUUGGAAGUUAUGAUUAUGCAGUGGCGGAGCUAGGAAAACAUCAGGUCUCAGUUUUGCUAUUGGAGCUAACUCAUCCAGAAUCUUACUCACACUCCCCACUUUUUCCUGACAAACAAAGCCGAGGCUGUAACACCCUGAAGGAAGCAAGCUGCCGUUGGAAGGUAACCCAUAUAUAUACUCAAUGAAAGGUAUGAGCAUAACACUUAAUUCAUUUUUUUUUUUUUUACAAAAACACUCAUUCAUAUUGCUAACAACAAAUUACGUUCUUUAGAAAUUAGAUAUGAACAAUCAUUUGACUCACGAAUCAUAUUUAUAAAAAUCUUAAUAUUGCUGAAUGGUAGGUAAUUUAGUUCCUAGUAUUCCAAGCUCUUUUCUUUUUUCCUGGAUUAUUGCUUGAUUGACGAAAAUAGUAACACACUUUCAUUAUGUCAUAAAGAUUGAUGCCUAGAUUCAAACAUUGUCUUAACAAAACCUCAAGUAAUUAAUUAAAACAAAGCAGCAAAAGUAUAAAAAUAAACUUGGGACUACAAAGACCAAGAAACAAGACAAGAGACCAUGAAAAUGUAGGCUUCUGGAAGAGGAGAUAUGGAAUCAACGGAGUCUUCUAGCUUCUCUCUCGGACUCGAGGAGAGUGAGGAUAUCUCCUUCCCUGACCGGUCCUUUCACG